Molecule: ribosomal RNA, 530 nt
Filed under: Leptophryne borbonica (Java tree toad)
Lineage: Eukaryota; Metazoa; Chordata; Amphibia; Anura; Bufonidae
Description: partial 16S ribosomal RNA
Rfam family: Bacterial large subunit ribosomal RNA
Source: RNAcentral
UCUGACCGUGCAAAGGUAGCGUAAUCACUUGUUCUUUAAAUAAGGACUAGUAUGAAUGGCACCACGAAGGUUUUACUGUCUCCUUUUUUUAAUCAGUGAAACUAAUCUCCCCGUGAAGAAGCGAGGAUAAAAUUAUAAGACGAGAAGACCCUAUGAAGCUUCAAACAAUAUAGUAUCUGCCACACAACACUAAAAUCUCCGCUUAAUUAACUUAUCAGGCAAUGUUACUGUAAGUUUUUGGUUGGGGUGACCACGGAGCACAAUAUAACCUCCACGCUGAAAGAAUCUUCUCUAAGCCAAGGAUCACACUCCUAAACAUCAACAUAUUGACACCAUUGACCCAAUAUAAUUGAACAACGAACCAAGUUACCCUAGGGAUAACAGCGCAAUCCACUUCAAGAGCCCAUAUCGACAAGUGGGUUUACGACCUCGAUGUUGGAUCAGGGCAUCCUAGUGGUGUAGCCGCUACUAAAGGUUCGUUUGUUCAACGAUUAAAACCUUACGUGAUCUGAGUUAGGACCCGGAGAAGA